Triticum urartu is the source of this 135-nucleotide non-coding RNA. NCBI's taxonomy places the organism in Eukaryota, Viridiplantae, Streptophyta, Magnoliopsida, Poales, Poaceae. The record is from Rfam.
AUAAUAUUACCUCCGUCCCAAAAAGCUUGUCUUAGAUUUAUGUAGAUACGGAUGAAUCUAACACUAAAACGUGUCUGGGUACAUCCGUAUAUAGACAAAUCUAAGAUAAGUUUUUUGGGAUGGAGGGAGUAUUAU